ACAACGGUGGGUCCCCGUUGUGUGUAGCAGGAAGGAGGGAAGGGAAGGGAAGAGGGGCUGACGUGAAUGAAUAAACAACUGAGCUCCUCCUCAACGCCACAGCGGACUCUGGCUCAGCUACUUUAAUAGGCUGAUUGAUUUCAAAUGUGCUUCGAGGGGCUUGGCUGGCCUGGACAACAAUGACUCUUCUACAUCUCAACAAGGACUUGACUCAUCUUUCACCUGCAGCCUGCCUCACAGCUGUUCAAUGAGCUCAGAACCGGCCCACAUGCAAGAACACACAGCUCUGCACAACAUAAUAUAAGCCCCCAUUGAGCCUAUGUGGUUUUUGGAGAGUCCAAAGCCUGAUGUAUCACAUGCCUCUGUUUUUUCACGAAUCCUCAUGCAUCCAGUAUUUUUCUCUCCACUGAGUUUUUUCCUCUUCAUGUUUGUUUUGUUUAUAGCGGAGAUUCACAACUGACAAAUGCUAGCUAUGUCUC
This is a long non-coding RNA of Oreochromis aureus, 479 nucleotides long. RefSeq lists it as uncharacterized. The transcript has 3 exons. Lineage: Eukaryota; Metazoa; Chordata; Actinopteri; Cichliformes; Cichlidae. The record is from RefSeq and is a predicted model, not a curated record.